UACGUAGGUGGCAAGCGUUGUCCGAAUUUAUUGGGCGUAAAGCGCGCGCAGGCGGCCAAAUAAGUCUGAUGUGAAAGCCCACGGCUCAACCGUGGUAGGUCAUUGGAAACUGUUUGGCUUGAGUACAGAAGAGAAGAGUGGAAUUCCACGUGUAGCGGUGAAAUGCGUAGAGAUGUGGAGGAACACCAGUGGCGAAGGCGACUCUUUGGUCUGUAACUGACGCUGAGGCGCGAAAGCGUGGGGAGCAAACAGG
RNAcentral lists this ribosomal RNA (253 nucleotides) under uncultured bacterium. Its description in RNAcentral is "partial 16S ribosomal RNA". It matches the Rfam family "Bacterial small subunit ribosomal RNA", at positions 524 to 776 of the family's 1533-position model. The record is from RNAcentral.